UCUGUGAAAUUCCGGGGCUUAACUUCGGGGUGGCAGGCGAUACGGGCAUAACUAGAGUGCUGUAGGGGAGACUGGAAUUCNUGGUGUAGCGGUGGAAUGCGCAGAUAUCAGGAGGAACACCGAUGGCGAAGGCAGGUCUCUGGGCAGUAACUGACGCUGAGGAGCGAAAGCAUGGGGAGCGAACAGGAUUAGAUACCCUGGUAGUCCAUGCUGUAAACGGUGGGCGUUAGGUGUGGGGACCGGUUUGGUUUCUGUGCCGUAGCUAACGCAUUAAGCGCCCCGCCUGGGGAGUACGGCCGCAAGGCUAAAACUCAAAGGAAUUGACGGGGGCCCGCACAAGCGGCGGAGCAUGUGGAUUAAUUCGAUGCAACGCGAAGAACCUUACCUGGGUUUGACAUGCACCAGACGGUUGUAGAGAUACGUACCUCCCUUUGUGGUUGGUGUGCAGGUGGUGCAUGGUUGUCGUCAGCUCGUGUCGUGAGAUGUUGGGUUAAGUCCCGCAACGAGCGCAACCCUUGUCUUAUGUUGCCAGCACUUUGGGUGGGGACUCAUGAGAGACUGCCGGGGUUAACUCGGAGGAAGGUGGGGAUGACGUCAAAUCAUCAUGCCCUUUAUGCCCAGGGCUUCACACAUGCUACAAUGGUUAGUACAACGCGCGGCAAGCCUGUGAGGGUGAGCGAAUCGCUGAAAGCUAAUCUCAGUUCGGAUUGGGGUCUGCAACUCGACCCCAUGAAGUCGGAGUCGCUAGUAAUCGCAGAUCAGCAAUG
Molecule: ribosomal RNA, 767 nt
Filed under: uncultured bacterium
Lineage: Bacteria
Description: bacterial SSU rRNA
Rfam family: Bacterial small subunit ribosomal RNA
Source: RNAcentral